This 492-nucleotide ribosomal RNA is filed under the name uncultured bacterium. RNAcentral's name for it is "partial 16S ribosomal RNA". It matches the Rfam family "Bacterial small subunit ribosomal RNA", at positions 29 to 507 of the family's 1533-position model. The record is from RNAcentral.
AGUGAACGCUGGCGGUAGGCCUAACACAUGCCAGUCGAACGGCAGCACAGUAAGAGCUUGCUCUUACGGGUGGCGAGUGGCGGACGGGUGAGGAAUACAUCGGAAUCUACUUUUUCGUGGGGGAUAACGUAGGGACACUUACGCUAAUACCGCAUACGACCUACGGGUGAAAGCAGGGGAUCUUCGGACCUUGCGCGAUUGAAUGAGCCGAUGUCGGAUUAGCUAGUUGGCGAGGUAAAGGCCCACCAAGGCGACGAUCCGUAGCUGGUCUGAGAGGAUGAUCAGCCACACUGGAACUGAGACACGGUCCAGACUCCUACGGGAGGCAGCAGUGGGGAAUAUUGGACAAUGGGCGCAAGCCUGAUCCAGCCAUACCGCGUGGGUGAAGAAGGCCUUCGGGUUGUAAAGCCCUUUUGUUGGGAAAGAAAAGCAGCAGGUUAAUACCCCGCUGUUCUGACGGUACCCAAAGAAUAAGCACCGGCUAACUUCGUG